This 485-nucleotide ribosomal RNA is filed under the name uncultured Sphingobacteriales bacterium. RNAcentral's name for it is "bacterial SSU rRNA". It matches the Rfam family "Bacterial small subunit ribosomal RNA", at positions 894 to 1382 of the family's 1533-position model. Lineage: Bacteria; Pseudomonadati; Bacteroidota; Sphingobacteriia; Sphingobacteriales. The record is from RNAcentral.
CAGAAACUCAAAUGAAUGACGGGGCCGCACAGCGGAGGAGCAUGUGGUUUAAUUCGAUGAUACGCGAGGAACCUUACCUGGGCUCGAACGUAAGAUGACUGUAGGUGAAAGCUUACAUCUCUUCGGAGCAUUUUACGAGGUGCUGCAUGGUUGUCGUCAGCUCGUGCCGUGAGGUGUCGGGUUAAGCCCGCAACGAGCGCAACCCCUGCUGCCAGUUGCCAACGGGUGAAGCCGGGCACUCUGGCGGGACUGCCAUCGACAAGAUGGAGGAAGGUGGGGAUGACGUCAAGUCAUCAUGGCCCUUAUGUCCAGGGCGACACACGUGCUACAAUGGCCGGCACAACGGGAAGCGAGUUCGCGAGGACGAGCGGAUCCCUCAAAAGCCGGUCGCAGUUCGGAUUGAAGUCUGCAACUCGACUUCAUGAAGCUGGAAUCGCUAGUAAUCGUGGAUCAGCCAAGCCGCGGUGAAUACGUUCCCGGGCCUU